Molecule: ribosomal RNA, 503 nt
Filed under: uncultured bacterium
Lineage: Bacteria
Description: partial 16S ribosomal RNA
Rfam family: Bacterial small subunit ribosomal RNA
Source: RNAcentral
AUUGAACGCUGGCGGCAGGCUUAACACAUGCAAGUCGAGCGGGGUGAUGGUGCUUGCACUAUCACUUAGCGGCGGACGGGUGAGUAAUGCUUAGGAAUCUGCCUAUUAGUGGGGGACAACAUCUCGGAAGGGAUGCUAAUACCGCAUACGUCCUACGGGAGAAAGCAGGGGAUCACUUGUGACCUUGCGCUAAUAGAUGAGCCUAAGUCGGAUUAGCUAGUUGGUGGGGUAAAGGCCUACCAAGGCGACGAUCUGUAGCGGGUCUGAGAGGAUGAUCCGCCAGGCCGGGACUGAGACACGGCCCAGACUCCUACGGGAGGCAGCAGUGGGGAAUAUUGGACAAUGGGGGGAACCCUGAUCCAGCCAUGCCGCGUGUGUGAAGAAGGCCUUAUGGUUGUAAAGCACUUUAAGCGAGGAGGAGGCUCUUUUGGUUAAUACCCAAGAUGAGUGGACGUUACUCGCAGAAUAAGCACCGGCUAACUCUGUGCCAGCCGCCGCCGUAA